Triplophysa dalaica is the source of this 278-nucleotide non-coding RNA. RefSeq annotates it as small Cajal body-specific RNA 6. The transcript has a single exon. Lineage: Eukaryota; Metazoa; Chordata; Actinopteri; Cypriniformes; Nemacheilidae. The record is from RefSeq and is a predicted model, not a curated record.
GGUCAGUGAUGAGAUGUAAAAGGUCUGAUGUCUGGGUCUCCCAUCAGUCUCUCUUCCCCUCCCAGCACCCCCUGCACAUUUCCCAGCAUGCUCUAGUCGUGCGUUGCUGGUUUGAGGUGGCAGCUGAUAUUCUGGACGUUUCUGCUCUAUGUAAGAGUCUCUUAGAGAAUAAAGUGAGAUCUCAACAGCAGCGUCCGACAUCAUCACAACACACACGAGGGUGAGACUGAUGGAGAACAUAAAACCAGCACGUGAUCUCAAGUUUUCAAGCUGAGACC